AUGUCCCACAAACGAAUCUACUACUCAGACAAAUACGACGACAAGGAGUUCGAGUACCGGCAUGUCAUGUUGCCCAAGGACAUAGCCAAGCUGUUCCCUAAAACCCAUUUGAUGUCUGAAUCUGAAUGGAGGAACCUCAGCGUUCAGCAGAGUCAGGGAUGGGUCCACUAUAUGAUCCAUGAACCAGAACCCCACAUCCUAUUGUUCAGGCGGCCACUGCCCAAGAAGCCAAAGACAUGA
This is an RNA transcript of Mus pahari (shrew mouse), 240 nucleotides long. It is a transcript of the gene named cyclin-dependent kinases regulatory subunit 1 pseudogene, with no coding region annotated. The record is from RefSeq and is a predicted model, not a curated record. NCBI's taxonomy places the organism in Eukaryota, Metazoa, Chordata, Mammalia, Rodentia, Muridae. The transcript has a single exon.